Molecule: long non-coding RNA, 385 nt
Organism: Ictalurus punctatus (channel catfish)
Lineage: Eukaryota; Metazoa; Chordata; Actinopteri; Siluriformes; Ictaluridae
Source: Ensembl
UGUCUGCACAUUUGAGUACUAUUCAAAUUCAUGCACGGUGCAAGUUUUUGGACGGCUAUCUGCUGACCCUAAAGAGAGCAUAACAAGUGAAAAACCCAGACAGCUGAAUGACUGAACAAGAGCGCAGAGGUGAAAUUGCAGUUGAUUUAAACGAAAUCAAUAGUGAAAAUCUCUGUCCCCAUGGUAUCAACCUGCGCUAUGCUGAUGGGUAGACGGAGAAAGUGUGCAUGGAAUUAAAUAUACUCUCUCCACUGCAUGACUGAAACUGCUCAUCUCCUGGGAUUUUCAUGCGCAACAGUCUCUAGCAUUUACACAGAAUGGUGUGAAUGUGCCGUGUUGAUGAAAGCGGACAGAGGAGAAUGGCCAGACUGAUUCAAGUUGUCAG